UUCAGAGGCAUAACACGAGUAUAUGACGUAUAAAAUAGAAGCAAAGGUGGGCCGAGAUGGAGGACCUGCCGGCGUGACCCUCGGGUGACUUGCACGAGGACACAAGAAGAAGAAGCAAAUAUCAUGACGCCCCGCAGGAAGAACAAGAAUACAUCCACUGAUGGGGAAGACAGUGCAAAUCUCACCAAGAAAAGAGGGAGAAAUAAGGACAACUCCAGCCCACCUGCUGCAUCCCCACCAACUGUUCGUCGCUCCCAGAGGAGGACCUUGGCACAGGCCAGCCCAUCUCAGGAUGAAUGUGAAGCAACUCCUAAAAAGUCUCGUCAGGCAGGUCCCAGUCCAGAAACUCCUUCCAGAGUCAGUCCUCGAGGGAAGAAGGAAAACAGCUCUCCCAUUCCUUCCAGAACAUCCCCCAGGGGUGACCGGAGAAGUCUCAGGGGCAGCAGCACUGACUCUGGUGCUAGCAAUGUGAGCAAUGCUGCCAUCAACUGUGCUUCAGCAGACCGUGGUGCCUCUUCACCAGCCCGCAGGCGAACUCGUAGAGAAAGCAACAGUUCAUCUAUUAGUGCAACUUCAGACACCUCAUCAAUCACACCCACAACUCCUCGAAGGGGCCGGGGAAGUAAAAGGAAGGUGUCAGAUAAGUCAGAUAAAGGGGAGGUGGAGUCUUCCAAGGAGGCCAAUGGACCAUCCCCUCAGUACUCCCCCAACACCAAGAGGAGGAGAGGGAGAUCCCAGGCUGAAAUUUCACCAUUAACCACCAAUGGCAAAAGUGAAGAACAUGUGAGACCAAAAAGAAGGAUAUGCAAGACAUUCUCACCACAAAAAGUUCUGGAUGAAGGUGUGGAUGAAACAAUAAAAUGUCUGGCAGGUAGGGAGGAGGAGGAUGUCAAGAACAGUGUAGACAGUGCAAAGAAGUUGGAAAAUUUCAAGAUUGAGAAUGGAAAUGAUGCCAGCGCAGAAACAGAUGAUGGUGCACAUGUAUUGACGUCAGCUAGUGCUACCUGUGAUGGAGAAGACCUGAGUGCAGAGGUGAACUCCAAAGACCGUAACAAAUUGCUGGAGAGGGAGACUUGUAAAGAUAGCAAGGAUACACUUGAUGUAACCAGCCAAGGUGAGAGUCAGAACUUACCAUCCUGUGAUACUGAUCCAAGGACAGGCAGUUCAAGCCCACUACUGGAGAAGCAUCGUUCGCCUGCACACACUUGCAAAACUAUCAUUAGUUCUAGUCAUGUUAACAGUGCAAAGAGAACACGUAGUAUUAGUGAUUCAUCAAACCACGAGAUUGCAGAGCAGACACUCACUUCCAAAAAAACAAAACUGUGUGCAAGUGUACCUGAUGAUAGCAGUGAUAGAGUGAAGUGUGAAAAUGGCAGUGUGAAGUUGGAGGAAAAAAAACAAGAGGCAGAAGAAAAAUGGAAGAGCUCAGAUCCCUUGCCUGUUACUGACAUGGAAGCUGAAGUGAGCAUUGAUCAUGUGGAUAGUGUGGCCAAGGGACAUCUGGAAAUCUAUAGUCUGACAGAUGAACAAAUUCUGGAAAUCUUUUCAUCACUUACAACCAAGGGAUCAAAAUUGUCAGAGAGCACAAUGAUUGAAGAGCUGGUGGAGAAACUUUUAAAUAGGUCAACUUCAGUUCGAAGUAUGAAUGCCCCUCGCUUCAACAAGUUCCUAAGACAGUUGCUGAACCGUUACUGCUGCCUUGAUACCUCUAAGGAAAGCAAACACAGUCUGUGUGAGAAAGCUGUGCAGUGGGCACGAGACCGGAAAAGUGUGAAUCUACGGCAUGAGUUGGAAUUAACCCUUAUGUCUCUGUAUUACAAUACAUGUCACUAUAAGAAGGCAGAGGGAAUAGCAGAUGCCCUCUACAAUGAAACAAAGAAACUCCAGGACAAGGAAAAAACAGUGAAGGCAUGCUUAUGUCUUAGUCAGGUGUACCAUGCAAUGGGUAAUAUUUCAAAAGCUCGAGCCAACAUCACUACUGCCAAGACUGAAGCUCUCAAGAUAUACACUCCACCUGACAUGCAAGGAGAACUUGACUUACAGUCAGGAAUAAUGCAAGUUGCAGAAGGCAAGGACAUGGAAACCGCUUUCUCCUAUUUCAAGGAGGCAGCAACUGGCUUUGUUUCUCACAAGCAGAGAGCAAGGGCUCUUAAGUACAUGCUUCUGUCAAAGAUUAUGAUGAAUAGGACCACUGGUGUCCUCCAAUGUGUUUGUGGUCACCUGCUCCGCGAACAAGCUGGGCCCUGGCUGAAGGCAGCUUUCCACGUCUCACCUCUGCUUCAUUGAUGGAGCCACUCACUGCUUCAGCUGAGGAUGGAUCUGAGGAGGGAGAAAAGGCUGUGCGCAGUCAGAGUCACAUCCAGGACAUAGAUGAGGGAGUGGAGGCUAUGCUUGCCAUUGCUGGUGCUGCCCACAGAUCCUCACUGAUGGAAUUCAGGAAGCUUCGUGAAGUUCAUAAGGAGCACCUGGCUGGAGAUUUAGUGGUGGCUGGGAUCCUGGAUGACCUCUACACCACAAUGAUGGAGAAAAACCUGCUCAAUAUAGUUCUUCCUUAUGAGUGUAUACAGAUUGGGUAUGUAGCAGAAAAAAUUGGUCUGCCUCGAGAAGAAGUGGAGAGGAGAGUUUCCCAGAUGAUCCUUGAUAAACGCAUCAAUGCCCAACUGGACCACCGUGAUGACUGCCUGUAUGUCUAUGCUUCCGUUGAUUCAGAUGUUGUUUACCAAACAGGCCUCAAAACCUUAACUCAGCUGGACAAGACCAUAUCUCAUCUGAACCGUAAGGUGAAGAAACUAUUGUAAUGAAUGUUGCUUAUAGGACAAAGUUUAUAGGAGUUCCUUGACUUGUUGAGGACAUCUUGUUGGAUAACACCACACAUUUAUUGUUCAAUAGUUAAGGUAUUUUGAAAAUUAUAUCUAUCUCAAAGUGUCUUAUAUACUGAGGUGUGAAGUUGUAUGUUUAAUGGUAUAUAGUGAUGGGAUUUCUCUCUGUCUCUCUCUCCUGCUAAAUGCAUUUAGCUGUGGAUUGGAUUUAUAUAUUUCUGUUAUUUUUUAGUUGGAGAUGAGAAUGAUAAUUUGUUUUAUUGGUGGCAUAAAAUGUGAAGCAAAAAGGCCUUUGUUUUGGAUGCCAUAAAACUUAGGUGUAUUAUAUUCAUUUCAAAUAUUUUCUUGCAUCCUGUUAUGUUGAAUACAGACAGAUUUCUCUUUAACUUCAUUUCAACCACAUUCAUAGUAUUUAAGCUUGAAUUGGUUUCCUUUCUGAGUAAUGUAUAUUCCAGGAACUUCAUGUAUAACUGCUUAUUCAUUUGAUCAUAUUCCUUUAUUAUUAUUAUUAUUAUUAUUAUUAUUAUUAUUAUUAUUGAUCAUCAUCAUCAUUGUCAUAAGAUUUUUUCCAUGUGUGUGUGUGUGUGUGUGCGCACUUGCACAGGUGUGUGUGUGUGUGUGUGUGUGUGUGUGUGUGCGAGCGUGCGUGCGUGCGUGCGUGCUCGCCAAUACUUAUGCUUAUGGGAUGUGUGUUUUAACAACUGAGUUAAAAUUCAUGCAUUUAGUCAUAAUUGUGCCAUUUAUCACUUCACCUCUCCCAUGUCCCUAUAAGGACAACUGCAUGUACAUAUUUAUAAUGCUUACAUCCUUAUUAGAACAAUAUCACACAUAUAACCUGUGAGGAUAAUGGUACUGGUCCAUUUAUUUUGAAGCCCUGUGAACACCUGGUGUAUUUGGACAGUGAUGAGUGCUGGUCUUCCUUUCUCAAAUGCUAGACCACCAUUUCACCUGAAGCUCAUGCCUGGUCAAUGUAUCUCCUUAUUUUGUCUCCACAUGUCUGUGGGAAUUUUCACCACAGAACUAGACAUUUACAGGAUAAGGUUAAAUAACUCAGGUUCAUUUCUAUAUCCAUAUUUACCUCAUAUGCAUUGUUGCAAGAUGGUUUUCAUAGUGAUAGUAAGUAAUGUUGAUCCUGCAAUACUAAGGAUAUUUAAAAGCAGCCCAGAUGGCUCUUUUGUGAAAUACAGUAAGACCCAUUUUAUCAGGAAGGGCAAUAUGGAUCAAGUGAUUUUCUGAAUAAAAAGAUGUCAGGUGAUCUAUAACAGAAUAUCCUUUAUAUAGAUUGAAUUGACGAGAAAGAAAAAACUGGAGCAUCCAUGUUCAGCACUAUUACAUUCCUGCCAAAGUUGUUAAUGUAUUUGCAGCAUAAACUUAUUAAUGGUGGCCUUAUUUCUUUUUUUGUUUAUUUAUUCAUUUAUUUAUUUUUUUUUUUAUUGAUUUUUUUGCAGGGUAACCACAGAGACUUACCAAAUACUUAUAAUUAUGUUUCAAAAGCCAUUUAAUCACUUGUGUUUGUAGACAUACCUCCAGGUGAUGUCACCUCUGCAAUGAAGGAGAAUGCCUUCAACUCAGAUCACAAAAUUAUGUCCUUGCCUAAAGUAUUGUGUUCUUUGCCUUUUUUUUUUUUUUUAUAAUGUUAUUAUAAUUGUUCUGCUAAGAGUUUAAUUAUAGGGGGAUGAAAAUGUAGGUUAUUUCUAACAGGAACAAUUAACAUUAGCCAUCAGAUUCUAACCUAGAAAUGAAACAAGUAUAAACAAAUUUAUUACAAACUUUCUUAUGUUAUUCUUUGAUCCUCUUGGCCUCACCAGCAGCAGCUGAAGAGAAUGAGGAGUUCAUGUAUUAGUAAAUUUGUCAGGUCACUAUAGUCUGUUGACAUCCAAGACUGAGUGGAGGUUAAAGAGUUAGCUGAUCUUUAGAAGUAAGCAUUAGGUAAACUUUAGAAGCAAGCAUAAGGCAAACUCCUCCACAAACCUACUGUGAGCUAACCUCUCUAUGCCACAUGUUUAAGCUUGUAUAUUUCUCAUUAUUUUGUUUGCUUUUGAUACAUAAUAUAUUGUUCAUAUAUUUUUAUCUAUCUAUACACCAGGCUGAUAUCUCUCUCAAAGUGGAAUAGGUGAGACAAGUGAAAUUAAAAUUAUGAUGCAUUAGAACUUUGUUGAGUAGAUUUCAAUUUGAUUAAGAUUAAAGUAUGAAUAAAAAAGGGUUGAAUAAAACUGUUUGUAUGAAUAAAAAAGGGUUGAAUAAAACUGUUUGGACA
RNA transcript from Scylla paramamosain (green mud crab), 5076 nucleotides. RefSeq lists it as uncharacterized. Lineage: Eukaryota; Metazoa; Arthropoda; Malacostraca; Decapoda; Portunidae. The record is from RefSeq and is a predicted model, not a curated record. The transcript is spliced from 10 exons.